UACGUAGGUGACUAGCGUUGUCCGGAUUUACUGGGCGUAAAGAGCGCGCAGGCGGUCGUUCAAGUCGAGUGUGAAAGCCCCCGGCUCAACUGGGGAGGGUCAUUCGAUACUGAUCGACUCGAAGGCAGGAGAGGGAAGCGGAAUUCCCGGUGUAGUGGUGAAAUGCGUAGAUAUCGGGAGGAACACCGGUGGCGAAGGCGGUUCUCUGGGCAUUACCUGACGCUGAGGAGCGAAAGUGUGGGGAGCGAACAGG
RNAcentral lists this ribosomal RNA (253 nucleotides) under uncultured bacterium. RNAcentral describes it as "partial 16S ribosomal RNA". It matches the Rfam family "Bacterial small subunit ribosomal RNA", at positions 524 to 776 of the family's 1533-position model. The record is from RNAcentral.